CCUACGGGAGGCAGCAGUGAGGAAUAUUGGUCAAUGGACGAGAGUCUGAACCAGCCAAGUAGCGUGAAGGAUGACGGCCCUAUGGGUUGUAAACUUCUUUUAUACAGGAAUAAAACGAGGCACGUGUGCCUUUUUGCAUGUACUUUAUGAAUAAGGAUCGGCUAAAUCCGUGCCAGCAGCCGCGGUAAUACGGAGGAUCCGAGCGUUAUCCGGAUUUAUUGGGUUUAAAGGGAGCGUAGGUGGGUUGUUAAGUCAGUUGUGAAAGGUUGCGGCUCAACCAUAAAAUUGCAAUGGAUACUGGCAGUCUUGAGUGCAGUUGAGGUAGGCGGAAUUCGUGGUGUAGCGGUGAAAUGCUUAGAUAUCACGAAGAACCCCGAUUGCGAAGGCAGCUUACUAAACUGUGACUGACAUUGAGGCUCGAAAGUGUGGGUAUCAAACAGGAUUAGAUACCCGUGUAGUC
RNAcentral lists this ribosomal RNA (460 nucleotides) under uncultured bacterium. RNAcentral's name for it is "partial 16S ribosomal RNA". It matches the Rfam family "Bacterial small subunit ribosomal RNA", at positions 338 to 795 of the family's 1533-position model. The record is from RNAcentral.